RNAcentral lists this ribosomal RNA (254 nucleotides) under uncultured bacterium. Its description in RNAcentral is "partial 16S ribosomal RNA". It matches the Rfam family "Bacterial small subunit ribosomal RNA", at positions 524 to 776 of the family's 1533-position model. The record is from RNAcentral.
CACGUAGGGGGCAAGCGUUGUCCGGAAUCAUUGGGCGUAAAGAGCUCGUAGGCGGCUCAGUAAGUCGGGUGUGAAACCCUCAGGCUCAACCUGGGGACGCCACCCGAUACUGCUGUGGCUAGAGUCCAGUAGGGGAGUGUGGAAUUCCCGGUGUAGCGGUGAAAUGCGCAGAUAUCGGGAGGAACACCAGCGGCGAAGGCGGCACUCUGGGCUGGUACUGACGCUGAGGAGCGAAAGCGUGGGUAGCAAACAGG